This is a long non-coding RNA of Melospiza melodia melodia, 1032 nucleotides long. RefSeq lists it as uncharacterized. NCBI's taxonomy places the organism in Eukaryota, Metazoa, Chordata, Aves, Passeriformes, Passerellidae. The transcript is spliced from 3 exons. The record is from RefSeq and is a predicted model, not a curated record.
UUGGUCGUGUUAGUUCAUAUUAGUGGGUGCGAUUUCCUCUGUCUAAGGCUCAGAUUAAUUAUUUAUGCUUCGAACUGCUUAAGAAGCACUUUAAAAAAAAAAAUAAACUGCCACAUAAACAUGCAAUGCCCCCCCACCACCACUCCAAGUGUUUCUAUAGCACGAUUUGAAUCUCGCGUCCCCGGCUCGGAGGGCUGAGCGGGCAUGGAAGAGUAUGUGUUUCUGUGAUUUAAGGUUUAUGCAGUGAAGCAGCAACGUCUUCACCGAGUGACUGAACUAUUUUAUUUUUACUGUUUUCCUAGGUCACCCGGCGGAACAAGGACACAUGAAUAUUGUAAACUUCUAUCUCUCCGUUUUCUUUCUUUCUUUUUUUUUUUUUCUUUUUUUAACAGAUUCAGACAGGUACCACCUUCUAUUUUUAAUACAAGCCAAGAGACGCAAACGUUAAAGACCAGUGCCAUCUCAAAUCCCCGGGUGUGAAUACUUCGUCUGUCACGACUGUCCCUGGGAAUCCACAGGAGGUGAACUGAAUAAGAUUAGACUAUUUACCCCAUCAACUCUCCAUCAAAGAAGAGUGAGUCGUUUUGCCGCGAAACCCCCGGUUUUGAUACCCGCUUGGCAAAACCCGCUCUCGGAGUUUCUCAUUUCCCGUGCCCUCUUCGCUAACCUGGCAAACGGAAAAUUGUGUUAAACAAACAAUCAGUUGUCGCACAAUGUCGGGGUGAAAUUGUAAUAACAAAUGAAACACAAGCAAAUUGUGCUGCAUAGUGUUGCUAAGCAAUUGUUUGUUACGGGAGGGUGGUCACAGCAUGGGUUGAAAGAGGGAUCUAAAGAGGAGCAUAGCGCUGGGCAGAGCAAGCUGUUAGGUAUGAAAUACGGUAAACACCGCGCUGAUUUUCAAUAUUAUUACCCAAACACGAUUCCAUACAAAGCAAUCACCAUACACAAGUCUAUGAAAAUGCGCUUGUUGAGAAAACGGACAUUUUUUUUCUUUUAUUUUAAUACCUUAAAGAGCAAUUCCGGGGAUGCAAA